GGCUUCAUUGGGUAAUUAUGGAUGCAAGCAGUGCUCCCAGAUAUCGUCCAGCUAUAGACACUUAAAUUGAAGAGCACAGCAUCAGAACUCUGAAGAACUGAUGAGAGGGUGUUGGUACCAACCUGAAGAUACCUAUCUGGUGAGGAAUUACAAUACUUGCUUUCUUUUGACUCUAUGGUCAGUAAGGCACAUAUCAAGAUUCCUGCAGAGGACCCAUCAGCACUGUGUUUGGACUAUAGUUGCUACUGCAGCCAGAAAUCUACUGCAGUUUCUGGACUUCUAAGAAUAGGACUAAGAUGAAAUAAGAAUAAGAUGAAAACAUUUUAUGUCUUUUGCCUCAUAUUCAUGGGUUAAAAAAAGUAAGGGGCAAGACGAAUUCAAGGUGACCAUUUCAGACAGCUAUUAUCUUGCCCAUAAAAUAAUCUACAAACUUGCUAAUGGUGUUACAGUCCAGUCAAUUUCAGCAGUAUGUACAUUCAUGGAUGCAUGGGUCAAACAGCUGUCUUGCCUCUCACAUCUAUAUGUGGCUGCUCUCACACAUUAACUGUGAAUUAAUUCAAGUAUGACACUUGAAAGAUCAUUGAAAUACUCCAUGAAAAAGUUACUUGAUAAAAGAGCAGAAAGCUUAAUUAGGAAAUUAUUCAGAUACUAGUAUAGAAGGAUAAGUCACUAGCAUCCAGGAAGGAAACAGUCUAGCUGUUUUGAGGAAAGGGACAAAUUAAUUAAAAAUUCAACAUUUUCAAAAUGAUAUUAACUAACAAAAUCACGUUUUCCUAGAAUUGGAUUAGGGAGGUGGGAUGGCAGGAGGGGGAAAAAAUGAAACAAAGGAAGAAACCCAAGAACGAUUAUCCCUGGAAGAAAUUUGAAAUUGGUCUUGCUUUGGUUAAAGUUGAAGAAUGUCUGAAAAUGGAAAGAUGCUGGUAAGUCAUAGUUCUUACAAAAAAAAUUCUAUUUGUUUAUGUGCAUGCAUACCAAACAAAGAAAGAAAGCAAGAAACAUCUGUGUAAAUAACGGUAGAAUACAGCAACAUGUUUAGAUCAUUUUAGGAGUUCAAAGAAAAAAUAAAGGAGAAACAAAACUAAUGGAAGGCAAUAAGAAAAACAGUAGAAAAAUAAAACAAUGAAUCUUAAUGUAGCAUAAACACACUCAUUUUCUGUAUUAAUUUUAUUUUUAGUGUUUGUUAUGUUUCUUAACGGGUUAGUAUUUCUUUCCAUAUUUGUAAAGCCAGAUUCACAUUUUGGGCUGCUUAUCACACUGAGAGGUUAGAAAGAUUAAUGUCCUCUUAAAUUUCUAUCUACCUUCUAAAGUGCAGGAUCAAACUUCAUUUUUAGAGCAGACCAUAAUGAUCUCCUAAGUGAAAGUAAGUGGAUAAAAGACACUACUUUCUUCCUCUAGCAUUUCCAUAAGCACUGAUGGCUUUGAUGCCCCAGAGGUUUUCCUUUGUCUUACCUGUCCUCUGGUUUCUGAAAACAGUACUUUGGAGUACUUGGGAGCUGAGGCAUAUUCUACUACGUGAUAUGAACAUAUUUUUAUUAUAUUGAAAUCAGAGAGUUUCUAGCAGCAUACAGAGAAGAGUUCAGGCAAGACAGAAGGAACAGGAACUAGCUGGUGUGGAAGACAGCAGUGCAAAGCCUGGAACACACAAUGUUCAGAAGGAGGAGGCGAUCCCCAGGUAACACUGACCUGCAGAGCACAAGUCCUGGCGAGAAGUCAGAAUUCCCAUGUUUAGCACAAAUAGGAAUAGAUCAAACGGUAGGAGAGAAAGUAGCUUGGAACUUCCAUUGCUUUACUCUUCAUUCCACACACAUGCUUUAUCAGUUUUCUUCCUGGGUUCGGAAAGGUUCAGAAAUAUUGUUGCCUGUAAUUAACUACAGCUUUGUUUCUCAUGAUAAUAUCAAAGAUUUCCAGUUAUUAUUAGCUGAUGGUUUUGUCCCACAGGGGAGAAUUAUGUAGUUUUCAAGACACCCUAAAACAAUUUAGUUCAGAAUAUUAUCGUUAAAAUUGGCCAGUUUGAAAAACAUAAUAGGUCAGGCAGUCAUGGAGCAUGCCUUUAAUCCCAGCACUUCAGAGGCAGAGGCAGGCGGAUUUCUGAGUUCAAGGUCAGCCUGAUUUACAGAGUGAGUUCCAGGAGAUCGAGGGCUACACAGAAAAACCCUGUCUUGAGACAAACAAACAAAC
RNAcentral lists this long non-coding RNA (2178 nucleotides) under Mus musculus (house mouse). RNAcentral's name for it is "long non-coding RNA chr3:16427451-16429629". The record is from RNAcentral. Lineage: Eukaryota; Metazoa; Chordata; Mammalia; Rodentia; Muridae.